RNAcentral lists this long non-coding RNA (428 nucleotides) under Salvia miltiorrhiza (redroot sage). RNAcentral describes it as "long non-coding RNA (SMIL_LNC008813)". Lineage: Eukaryota; Viridiplantae; Streptophyta; Magnoliopsida; Lamiales; Lamiaceae. The record is from RNAcentral.
CGGAAGUUGAAACCACCUGAUUAUUGAUCCAGUUUCAGGGAAGUUCUGUUAGUUUCUUUCGUUUUUAUUUUAUUUUAUUUAUUUUCUUUUUCUUUCCUUUUAUGCUUUCUUUAUUUUAUGUUUUCGUUGUUAGUUUUUCCCCACACAAUGAGGACAUUGUGUUGUCUAAGUGUGGGGGAGUUUUUAUAUCUUUUGUCUUGAGUCCGUGUGCUCAUUUUAUUUUGUUAUUUUUUUUUAUGUUUGUGAAUCUGUCUAUCCCAUGAUACGAGAUCUUUUAAUUACAAUUUUAGGCAACCAAAAAUAAAAGUGAUUUCAAAAUUAGGAUAAAGGAUCCAAGUGGGAAAAAGAGGAUUAUUAAAAUUGAACUUAUUUAAUGCUACACUAUCAAUUAGGAUAGUAUUUCAUGAGAGUUAUUACAAAAAUAUUUC